Molecule: ribosomal RNA, 643 nt
Filed under: uncultured actinomycete
Lineage: Bacteria; Bacillati; Actinomycetota; Actinomycetes; Actinomycetales
Description: bacterial SSU rRNA
Rfam family: Bacterial small subunit ribosomal RNA
Source: RNAcentral
CGCGGCCUAUCAGCUUGUUGGUGGGGUGAUGGCCUACCAAGGCUUUUACGGGUAGCCGGCCUGAGAGGGCGACCGGUCACACUGGGACUGAGACACGGCCCAGACUCCUACGGGAGGCAGCAGUGGGGAAUAUUGCACAAUGGGCGGAAGCCUGAUGCAGCAACGCCGCGUGAGGGAUGACUGCCUUCGGGUUGUAAACCUCUUUCAGCACCGACGAAGCGGGAGUGACGGUAGGUGCAGAAGAAGCGCCGGCCAACUACGUGCCAGCAGCCGCGGUAACACGUAGGGCGCGAGCGUUGUCCGGAAUUAUUGGGCGUAAAGGGCUCGUAGGCGGUUUGUUGCGUCGAUAGUGAAAAUCCGGGGCUUAACUUCGGACUUGCUUUCGAUACGGGCAGGCUAGAGGUAGGCAGGGGAGAGUGGAAUAGCUGGUGUAGCGGUGGAAUGCGCAGAUAUCAGCUGGAACACCGGUGGCGAAGGCGGCUCUCUGGGCCUUACCUGACGCUGAGGAGCGAAAGCGUGGGGAGCGAACAGGAUUAGAUACCCUGGUAGUCCACGCCGUAAACGUUGGGCGCUAGGUGUGGGGGGCUUUCCACGUCCUCCGUGCCGCAGCUAACGCAUUAAGCGCCCCGCCUGGGGAGUACGG